This 2048-nucleotide long non-coding RNA is filed under the name Homo sapiens (human). Lineage: Eukaryota; Metazoa; Chordata; Mammalia; Primates; Hominidae. The record is from RNAcentral.
CUCUUUUAUAUAUUCUUAAGGAUAUAUUGAAGGCUCAUCUACAUAAAUUAAGAACAUUUAACUUGCUCUGGAAUCAUUGUGAAAAUAAAUGUCUUCGAUUUCCUAAUAGCUAUAUAACUCACAAAAAUAAGAGUAAGUAAAUUUUAAAUAAAUUUGUAUCUAUAAAUUGAUUUAUGUUUGUACUGUCUUAGGACACAACAAUAUUUCAUAAAUCAAAUAUCAAUGAUAAAAAUAUGUAUUCCAUAUUAAAGCUUUAAAAGUAAGGUGCUGCAUUGAGAUUACUUUCUACACAUACCCCCUUCAAAGAUGUUUAAUAAUAUUUCACACUUAAAUGAAGACAUACAAAUGAUACAGUUAACACUCUCUCUUUCUCUCUCUCUCUCACACACACACACACACUCAUGUAUAUACAUGUUCUUUUUAAAAUUCAGAAUAAAAAUAACAAAUAAAUCUUUGAGGGGAAAAAAGAAAAAAAGGCUCUUUAUAUGCCAAAUUACUGAGAAAAUAUUCAGCUAUAUUUUUUACUCUUUUUUUCUUUUAUGUAGUGAACCUCAGGUGUAAACUUCUGGCAGCAUUUUGAUCAGAUUUAGAAAAUAGUUGAAAGAGGAAGAACAAAGGGAGAUGAUAUAAAUGGCAGAAAACUUAAGGCAUCUUUGGAUGAAAAAAUAACCUGAAUCAAGAAAAUGUAAUUUUUGAUGGUGAUUACACUUCGAAGAAAAUAAAGUGGAUUGAGGAGCCAGAUAUGACUGGGCAGGAAAUUAGAUAGGAUAGACAAGAUGACCUCUCUAAAGGGGGCUAUUGAGCUGAUACUUGAAUGAUAAAAAGGAGCAGGCUAUCAGAAGUUACGAAUCAAGUGUCUUUCAGAAAGAGGAAAACAAAAAAUAAUGGAAAUAGGGAUAACCCAUUAGAGAAAAUGUGAGAAGGCUUACAUGGUUGGAACAAAAUGAGUAAGGGUAAGUUUCAGAAGAAGAGAAUAAAGACAGGGAACUAUAAGGUGGGAUGAGAUAAAGAGUUUAUACCUUAUUUUGAGUAAUGGGAAAUAAUUAUUGGGUUUUAUGCUGGAUAAUAUUUGUAAUCUGAAUUAGAAUGUGAAGAUUACUGCAGCUGUCUCACAGGUCAUCAAUAGUUCUGGGAACAGGAGAAUGUUUUGGGAACUGUUAGCAGGUUACUGGAAAGUUUAUGUAAAAGAUGUUACAUACUUUAAGUAGGAUCCAGGCAGUAGUGUUUUAAGAAACAGUCCAGUUUGGAUACUUUCUGAAAGAAUAAAUAGCAAGAUUACAUAAGGAUACAAUGACUGGAAGAAUCAAGGAGAAAGCCUAGUGUUUUGGUCUAAGAGACUGGGUAAAUUGAAGUAGUAUUAACUAUGAUGUAUAAAACGGACAAAAGCAAUUUGUGAGUGGAUAAACAUCAGAAUUUAAUAUUCAAAAUUCAAGACCAAAUACUGGAAUUAAUAAAUUCAUGUCAGUGCUGAAACUUUGUCAAGUUAUGCUACUGACAUGAAGUAAUGAUACAGUAUAUCUGAGGAGAAAAAAAUAAAUAAAUUCACCUAUUGGGAAAGUGUUGUUGGAGGAGAGAAAAAUGACAAGAACUGAAAACAUUUGUUCUCCGUCACUUCGUGGUCUGGAGUAGACAGAAGAGCAAAGGUACAAAGAGUCAGCAGCUGGUGAGCCUUGAGGGAUACUAAGAGAGUGCAGUAACAUGGAAACCAAUGCCAGUGUUUCUAGAAUAAGAGUGUUAACUGUGUGAAUGCUGGUGGGAAAGUUGAAUAUGGGUAAUAGACUUGAAUAGACAAUAUGGUGCACAUUGGUGACCCUAUAAUGUUUCAGAGGUGUAGUGACAAGGAUGAACGGAGGAGAUUGAAGAGAAUGUGCAGUGGAUGAAUGCGGAAAUUGUAUCUGAGUCCUUCAAAAAAAAUUUAUUCUAAAGGGGGACAACAUUUAUUUGGUAGUAGUCAGAGAAGUAUGAUGUUCAAGAAUAUGGGACCCAUUAUAGCAAGUGAUAUGCAAAUAGUAAUGUGUUUCCAGAUGAUUUUUCUAGUCAAAAACAAG